CGCGCCUCGAAACCCGCCAUCGAAUGAGGCAAGACUACCCGCUGAACUUAAGCAUAUCACUAAGCGGAGGAGAAGAAACUAACCAGGAUGCCCCUAGUAAUGGCGAAUGAAGCGGGCUGAGCUCACGCUGCCAAUCUGGAGGCCUCGCGUAUGCAGCGCCCCCCGAAUUGUGGUCUAGAGAGGCGUUAUCGGCCGCGCCCGCCGCUCAAGUCCCUUGGAACAGGGUGUCGGAGAGGGUGAGAAUCCCGUACCGUGGCGGGUUGCGGCCUUACGAUGCGUCCUCGUCGAGUCGGGUUGCUUGGGAUUGCAGCUUGAAUUGGGUGGUAAAUUCCAUCUAAAGCUAAAUACUGGCGAGAGACCGAUAGCGAACAAGUACCGUGAGGGAAAGAUGCAAAGAACUUUGAAAAGAGAGUCAAAGAGUGCUUGAAAUCGGUAGGAGGAAACCCGGAUGGGCCCGGCUUCGGCGCGCCGACUCAGCCUGGGGUUCUCCCCAGGUGCACUUCUGCGCGCCGGGUCAGCCGCGCCUCGGCGCCGCGCCUCAACCCGGGAGCGGGGCUUUACGGCCAGCUCCCGUCCUGGCGCGGCCCGGGGCCCGGCUGACGGAACGGGCCCCUCCGACCCGUCUAGAAACACGGACCAAGGAGUCUGACACGUGUGCGAGUACCCGGGCGGCAAACCCGCGUGCGCAAUGAAAGUAAAGGGCAUGCCCUGCCAACCGACCUGGACCUUCUGCGAAGGGUUUGAGUGGAGCAUACUUGUCGGGACCCGAAAGAUGGUGAACUAUGCCUGAGGAGGGUGAAGCCAGAGGAAACUCUGGUGGAGGCUCGUAGCGAUACUGACGUGCAAAUCGUUCGUCGAACUUGGGUAUAGGGGCGAAAGACUAAUCGAACCAUCUAGUAGCUGGUUCCCUCCGAAGUUUCCCUCAGGAUAGCUUGAACGCAACGGUUUUGUCAGGUAAAGCGAAUGAUUAGAGGCCUGUGGGCUGAAACAGCUUGCACCUAUUCUCAAACUUUAAAUGGGCAAGAGGCCCGGGAUGCUUGAGUGAUCCCGGGCGGCGAACGGCGCGUUCAAAGUGGGCCAUUUUUGGUAAGCAGAACUGGCGAUGCGGGAUGAACCGAACGCCGCGCUAAGGUACCCAAGUGUCCGCUCAUCAGAUACCACAAAAGGCGUUGGUACCUCCAGACAGCAGGACGGUGGCCAUGGAAGUCGGAACCCGCUAAGGAGUGUGUAACAACUCACCUGCCGAAGGUACUAGCCCUGAAAAUGGAUGGCGCUCAAGCGGACCACCGAUGCGCGGCCGCCGGCGCGAGCGCGAGGCGCCGGCGAGUAGGAGGGCGCGGGGCUCGCGGCGCAGCCUUGGGCGCGAGCCUGGGUGAAGCGGGCCCCGGUGCAGAUCUUGGUGGUAGUAGCAAAUAUUCAAAUGAGAACUUUGAAGACUGAAGUGGAGAAAGGUUCCGUGUGAACAGCAGUUGGACACGGGUGAGCCGACCCUAAGAGACAGGAAAACUCCGCCGAACGCGGCUGGUUCUGUCAGCCCGUCCGUCGAAAGGGAAUCGGGUUAAUAUUCCCGAGCCAGCGCGUGGAUGGUGGGCGGCGACGCGAACGAACCCGGAGACGCCGGCGGGAGCCCUGGGAAGAGUUCUCUUUUCUUCUUAACUGCCUCCUGCCCUGGAAUCGGUUUAGCCGGAGCGAGGGCUACACGGCAGGCAAAGCACCCUAAGUCUUGGGGUGUCCGGCGCGCUCCCGACGGCCCGUGAAAAUCCGGGGGAGCGGUUCGUUCUCACGCCUGGUCGUACUCAUAACCGCAUCAGGUCUCCAAGGUGAACAGCCUCUAGUCGAUAGAGCAAUGUAGGUAAGGGAAGUCGGCAAAAUGGUUCCGCAACCUCGGGAGAAGGAAUGGCUCUGAAGGCUGGGCGCAGGGGUCCUAGGCUCGAGGCCGGCUGGCUGCGCGGGGACUACGGCCUCACGGCUGCGGAUCCCGCGCGGCCGUCCGGCGGACGGCCUAGGAGCGCUCCGGCUCUCCCUGCGCGACGAACAGCCGCUUCAGAACUGGCGCGGACAAGGGGAAUCCGACUGUUUAAUUAAAACAAAGCAUUGCGAUGGCCCGCGAGGGUGCUGACGCAAUGUGAUUUCUGCCCAGUGCUCUGAAUGUCAAAGUGAAGAAAUUCAACCAAGCGCGGGUAAACGGCGGGAGUAACUAUGACUCUCUUAAGGUAGCCAAAUGCCUCGUCAUCCAAUUAGUGACGCGCAUGAAUGGAUUCGUGAGAUUCCCACUGUCCCUAUCUACUGUCUAGCGAAACCACAGCCAAGGGAACGGGCUUGGAAGAAUCAGCGGGGAAAGAAGACCCUGUUGAGCUUGACUCUAGUCUGUUACUGUGGAACGACUUGAUGGGUGUAGAAUAUGCGGGAGGGGCAACCCGACAGUGAAAUACCGCAACCGUCAACGUUGUUUUACUUACUCGGUGGCGCGGAGGGAGGCUCGCCUCACUUCUGGAUCCAAGCCGCUUCGUGCGCGCGAUCCGCGUCGGGGACACUAACAGGUGGGGAGUUUGGCUGGGGCGGCACGUCUGUUAAAAAAUAACGCAGGCGCCCGAUUUUGAGCUCAAUGAGAACAGAAAUCUCAUGUGGACCGAAAGGGGAAAAGCUCGGUUGAUUUUGAUUUUCAGUACGAAUACAAACCGCGAAAGCGUGGCCUAUCGAUCCUCUCGUCUUUGGGAAUUUCAAGCUAGAGGUGUCAGAAAAGUUACCACAGGGAUAACUGGCUUGUGGCUGCCAAGCGUUCAUAGCGACGUAGCUUUUUGAUCCUUCGAUGUCGGCUCUUCCUAUCACUGCCUCGCAGCAGGGGCCAAAUGCAGGAUUGUUCACCCACCAACAGGGAACGUGAGCUGGGUUUAGACCGUCGUGAGACAGGUUAGUUUUACCCUACCGCUGUCGGUUUUUCUACGGUAAUUUGGUUCAGUACGAGAGGAACCACCAAUUCGCAUCCUCGGUAUAGCCGCCGCCGGAAACGGCGAUGCGGCGAAGCUGCCAUGCGCCGGAUUAUAACUGAACGCCUCUAAGUUAGAAUCCAUGCCGGAAGGAAAGCCACCUACCGGCCCGGGGACGCCACGAGCAACGGUAGCACUGCCUGAGCCGCGAGCGACCACAAUUCACGGACCCGGGCCGACGAAUCCCUUGCAGACGACUUG
RNAcentral lists this ribosomal RNA (3188 nucleotides) under Pseudomonadota bacterium. RNAcentral's name for it is "eukaryotic LSU rRNA". It matches the Rfam family "Eukaryotic large subunit ribosomal RNA". Lineage: Bacteria; Pseudomonadati; Pseudomonadota. The record is from RNAcentral.